CCUACGGGAGGCAGCAGUGAGGAAUAUUGGUCAAUGGGCGGGAGCCUGAACCAGCCAAGUCGCGUGAGGGAUGACGGCCCUAUGGGUUGUAAACCUCUUUUGCCGGGGAGCAAAGUGCCGCACGUGUCCGGUUUGGAGAGUACCCGGAGAAAAAGCAUCGGCUAACUCCGUGCCAGCAGCCGCGGUAAUACGGAGGAUGCGAGCGUUGUCCGGAAUUAUUGGGCGUAAAGAGUUCGUAGGCGGCAUGUAAAGGUAGGUGGUAAAAGCGCAGGCUCAACCUGUGUAUGGCUCUUGAGACUUGCAAGCUGGAAUGCGGUAGAGGUAAAGGGAAUUCCUGGUGUAGCGGUGAAAUGCUUAGAUAUCAGGAGGAACAUCGGUGGCGUAAGCGCUUUACUGGGCCGUAAUUGACGCUGAGGAACGAAAGCCAGGGUAGCGAAUGGGAUUAGAUACCCCAGUAGUC
RNAcentral lists this ribosomal RNA (460 nucleotides) under uncultured bacterium. RNAcentral describes it as "partial 16S ribosomal RNA". It matches the Rfam family "Bacterial small subunit ribosomal RNA", at positions 338 to 795 of the family's 1533-position model. The record is from RNAcentral.